Molecule: non-coding RNA, 160 nt
Filed under: Pelecanus crispus (Dalmatian pelican)
Lineage: Eukaryota; Metazoa; Chordata; Aves; Pelecaniformes; Pelecanidae
Source: Rfam by way of RNAcentral
UUGGAGCUUUUUCUUAUGUAGCAACAGGAUGCUAAGGUGAGUUCAGAAAACUGUGGAGCAGAAGAGCAAAUACUUGUUUGAUCUUGGUUUUCCAUGCAAAUACAGACAGUGAGAAGUGAGGCCUCGUGAUCUUUCUGACUUUUCAGGUUUUAAGCAGAAA